RNAcentral lists this ribosomal RNA (409 nucleotides) under uncultured Methylomirabilota bacterium. RNAcentral describes it as "bacterial SSU rRNA". It matches the Rfam family "Bacterial small subunit ribosomal RNA", at positions 1026 to 1434 of the family's 1533-position model. Lineage: Bacteria; Methylomirabilota (SeqCode). The record is from RNAcentral.
GCGUGGAGACAGGUGGUGCAUGGCUGUCGUCAGCUCGUGUCGUGAGAUGUUGGGUUAAGUCCCGCAACGAGCGCAACCCUCACCCCUAGUUGCCACCGGGUAAAGCCGAGCACUCGAGGGGAACUGCCAGCGUCAAGCUGGAGGAAGGCGGGGAUGACGUCAAGUCAUCAUGGCCCUUACGCCCUGGGCUACACACGUGCUACAAUGGCCGGUACAAAGGGACGCGAGACUGCAAAGUGGAGCUAAUCCCAAAAAACCGGUCUAAGUUCAGAUUGCAGUCUGCAACUCGACUGCAUGAAGGAGGAAUCGCUAGUAAUCGCGCAUCAGCACGGCGCGGUGAAUACGUUCCCGGGCCUUGUACACACCGCCCGUCACACCACGAAAGCUGUCUGUACUCGAAGUCGCUGAG